UACGGAGGGUGCAAGCGUUAUCCGGAUUCACUGGGUUUAAAGGGAGCGUAGGUGGGCUUGUAAGUCAGUGGUGAAAUCUCCGGGCUUAACCCGGAAAGGUCAACUGAUACUGCAGGGCUAGAGUGCAGAAGGGGCAACUGGAAUUCUCGGUGUAGCGGUGAAAUGCGUAGAUAUCGAGAGGAACACCUGCGGCGAAGGCGGGUUGCUGGGCUGACACUGACGCUGAUGUGCGAAAGCUAGGGGAGCGAACGGG
RNAcentral lists this ribosomal RNA (253 nucleotides) under uncultured bacterium. RNAcentral's name for it is "partial 16S ribosomal RNA". It matches the Rfam family "Bacterial small subunit ribosomal RNA", at positions 524 to 776 of the family's 1533-position model. The record is from RNAcentral.